UCCAGACUCCUACGGGAGGCAGCAGUGGGGAAUAUUGCACAAUGGGGGAAACCCUGAUGCAGCAACGCCGCGUGAAGGAAGACGGUUUUCGGAUUGUAAACUUCUGUUCUUAGUGAAGAAGAAUGACGGUAGCUAAGGAGCAAGCCACGGCUAACUACGUGCCAGCAGCCGCGGUAAUACGUAGGUGGCAAGCGUUAUCCGGAUUUAUUGGGUUUAAAGGGUGCGUAGGCGGGGUGCCAAGUCAGCGGUAAAAAUGGGGUGCUCAACGCCGGCGAGCCGUUGAAACUGGCGUUCUUGAGUGGGCGAGAAGUAUGCGGAAUGCGUGGUGUAGCGGUGAAAUGCAUAGAUAUCACGCAGAACUCCGAUUGCGAAGGCAGCAUACCGGCGCCCUACUGACGCUGAGGCACGAAAGCGUGGGUAUCGAACAGGAUUAGAUACCCGGGUA
RNAcentral lists this ribosomal RNA (445 nucleotides) under uncultured bacterium. RNAcentral describes it as "bacterial SSU rRNA". It matches the Rfam family "Bacterial small subunit ribosomal RNA", at positions 330 to 792 of the family's 1533-position model. The record is from RNAcentral.